UUUUUCUUUUUUUUUGAGGCACAGUCUUCCUGUGUCACCCAGGCUAGAGUGCGGUGUCUUGAUCUUGGCUCAUUGCAACUUCUGCCAUCCAGGCUCAAGAAUUCUCCUGCUUCAGCCUCAUGAGUAGCUGGGUUUACAGGCGAGUGCCACCACGCCUGGCUAAUUUUGUGUUUUCAGUGGAGACAGGGUUUCACCAUGUUGGCCAGGCUUGUCUUGUCUUGACCUCCUGACCUCAGGUGAUCUGCCCACCUCAGCCUCCUACAGUGCUGGGGUUACAGGUGUGAGCCACCGUGCCCGGCCCAUUAGUUGGUUUUCUUGAUUGUCUUGCAUCCUCUGAUCCUUACCCUCCAAAAGGCUCCAGUGAGUGUUGCUCCCCUCUAUGUGUCCAUGUGUUCUCAUCGUUCAGCUCCCACUUGUAAGUGAGAACAUGUGACAUUUGGUUUUCUGUUCCUGUGUUGGUUUGCUAAAGAUAAUGGCCUCCAGCUCCAUCCAUGGUGUCUCCUCUUACUGGAUUGGUACCUCAUUUAACCGUAAUGACUUCCUUAAAGGUCCCCGCUCCAAAUACAGACGCGUAUUUGUGGAGUCAAGGCUUCACAUAUGAAUUUACAAUGGACCCAGUGAUUCCAUCCACAAUAAUAUGGCACUCAAGAUGUACUGAGAAGGACCUCAUCUCUGCAUAUCUUUUGCAUCUCCACCAUCCCUUCUCUUUUGCAUAAUAGGAUCCAAACAUUAAAUGAUACCAGACCUCUGGUAUUUUGGAGGGAUACGUUCCCAGCUCUUUGUAGUUCUAAUUGUCAGGUAUUCAGGGUGUGAAUUGGAUAACCUGAUUUCUAUCACUUACCCUUCUUCAAAAGCAUUAUACACAAGGGCAAAAGGCCCUGUUGGAUUCUUAGCUAUGACCACAUAAUAUUUCCCCAGUCCCGGGAUUCUCUGGUGAUUGGUGCUGGGGCAAGAUGCUCAGGUGUAGAAACUGAAAUGGUGACUUCUAUCUCUUGAAUCUAGAAGGGCUGGGUGAAUUAAGGAGAUGUUGAACUUGGCUAUUCAACUUUGUGGACAGCAAUAGCUGUAUGGUCCUGCCAUCUCCUUGAGUGCUAGACCUCUCUCGAAGCGAUGGCUCCCAACCAGGGACAAUUUUGGCUUCCUCCUACCUCCUUCAGGGUGUUUGGUGGCGUCUGCAGACAUGUUUGAUUGUUACCACUGGGAGAGGAUGGUGGCUCCUGGCAUCUAGUGAGUAAAGGUCAGGGAUGCUGCUUAAAUAUCCUACAAUACACAGGACCGUACCCUAACCCCAGUACUCAUGAACAGGGAGGAAUUAUUCAAACAAUAGUGCUGAGGUUGAGAAGUCCUGCUCUAGAAGUUCUGAGAGUGCAUUUACCACAUAGAGAUGGAAACCAAAGUGUCCUCCAUGCCUGGGGACAGGAAGUGAGUUUGGGAGCAGGUCUUGGCUUCUGAUACUUAAGGCUCAGCUAGCACACCCACUAGUAAAACGUGGCUCAAUCCAUGUGCCUGAUUCAGAACAAUCAGAUGGACAACAUUUCUUUCAUAAAAGGCAAGA
This is a long non-coding RNA of Macaca fascicularis (crab-eating macaque), 1555 nucleotides long. NCBI's taxonomy places the organism in Eukaryota, Metazoa, Chordata, Mammalia, Primates, Cercopithecidae. The record is from Ensembl.